UGUAAUGGAUCGCCUGGCACCCCGACUGGGUACCUCCGUUGAAGGAUGCUCCUAGCGCUUCCUGAGGACUCCAAGCACUGCAGCAGACACCACAACCACCGAACCGGAGAAGCAUACGAAUGCUCUCAAGCAUAUGAAUGCUGUUAGCAGCUGAGCAGGAAAAGCAUACAAUCAGCUUACACUCCUGGCAAUCAGCAUACAAUCCA
This is a non-coding RNA of Pelobates cultripes (western spadefoot toad), 206 nucleotides long. The record is from the annotation of a GenBank genome assembly. NCBI's taxonomy places the organism in Eukaryota, Metazoa, Chordata, Amphibia, Anura, Pelobatidae.